UACACACCGCCCGUCACACCAUGGAAGUCUGCUGCACCAGAAGUAGGUAGUCUAACCGCAAGGGGGGCGCCUACCACGGUGUGGCCGAUGACUGGGGUA
RNAcentral lists this ribosomal RNA (99 nucleotides) under uncultured bacterium. RNAcentral's name for it is "partial 16S ribosomal RNA". It matches the Rfam family "Bacterial small subunit ribosomal RNA", at positions 1384 to 1482 of the family's 1533-position model. The record is from RNAcentral.